UCUUUACCGUGGCUGCUGGAAAGUCCAGAUGUCUUGUUGCAUGUAAAACCUCAAACCAACCUGAGUGUGAUUUCUCUUUAGUUCUGACCUCACUGCUGAGCUGCACAACAAACCAAGCCUCUCUGACUGUGAGUCCCAGCAGCUCUCAGCUGUUUAAAGGAGAGUCUUUCUCUCUGAGCUGUGAGGAGGACGACAGCUCUGCUGGAUGGACACCGAGGAGGAACACGACCACAGAAACCAGGACUCAGUGUGAUGACUGGGGAGGAGAACCAGCUGGUUCUUCAUGUUACAUCAGCUACAUCACUGCAUGGGACAGUGGAGUUUACUGGUGUGAGUCCAGAGAGGGAGCAACCAGUAACACCAUCAACAUCACUGUCACUGGUAAGAUCAGACUGCAUUAAUCUAAUGAGCCAGAUCAAUAACAAACACAGGGGCUGUGAUCACUGUCUCAGUGUUAUUCUUACUUUGCUAAAAUCAAAAGCAAACAUUUAACCUCAAAGAGGAAGAAAUACAGAUGAUUCAGAAGCUAACCAACACUGGAUGGAGCACUGAGUAGCCAAGGGAUGAGACUGAGGGGCUUAAAAUCCUGUAUUUGUAUGGUUCAAAACACCAUACAUAAAGAUUUCUGCAUGUUUGCUUCAUUAGGUCAUAUGAAAAGAAAUCUACCUAAAUAUUCAUCAAAUAUUUAGUUUUUAUGUGUUUACUGAGUCAAGAACAGGGCAGAGUGACUGGAGGCUCAGAAAAGGUGGAGAACAAAGCUGAAACUAACACAUUGCCGAGUUUGAUGGCAGGAAAGCAGACAGUAACAGUUUAACUCAGUUUCACACCUCCUCCUCCUUCCCCACCACCUCCCUACUUAUGUGCUAACAUUUUGACAAACACAGUAAGAUACAAAAACACUUUAAAAGAAACAUUUCACAAAGCAUGAGCAAUGUAACAU
Molecule: long non-coding RNA, 940 nt
Organism: Micropterus salmoides (largemouth bass)
Lineage: Eukaryota; Metazoa; Chordata; Actinopteri; Centrarchiformes; Centrarchidae
Exons: 3
Source: RefSeq, a predicted model, not a curated record